RNAcentral lists this ribosomal RNA (253 nucleotides) under uncultured bacterium. Its description in RNAcentral is "partial 16S ribosomal RNA". It matches the Rfam family "Bacterial small subunit ribosomal RNA", at positions 524 to 776 of the family's 1533-position model. The record is from RNAcentral.
GACGUAGGGCGCGAGCGUUGUCCGGAUUUAUUGGGCGUAAAGAGCUCGUAGGCGGCUUGUCGCGUCGUCCGUGAAAACCCACAGCUCAACUGUGGGCUUGCGGUCGAUACGGGCAGGCUAGAGUUCGGUAGGGGAGACUGGAAUUCCUGGUGUAGCGGUGAAAUGCGCAGAUAUCAGGAGGAACACCGGUGGCGAAGGCGGCAUCCUGGACCGGCAUUGACGCUGAGGCGCGAAAGCCAGGGGAGCAAACGGG